Molecule: transfer RNA, 73 nt
Filed under: Candidatus Roizmanbacteria bacterium RIFCSPHIGHO2_02_FULL_38_11
Lineage: Bacteria; Candidatus Roizmaniibacteriota
Also listed under: 2 other names
Description: tRNA-Phe
Rfam family: tRNA
About the family: Transfer RNA (tRNA) molecules are approximately 80 nucleotides in length. Their secondary structure includes four short double-helical elements and three loops (D, anti-codon, and T loops). Further hydrogen bonds mediate the characteristic L-shaped molecular structure. tRNAs have two regions of fundamental functional importance: the anti-codon, which is responsible for specific mRNA codon recognition, and the 3' end, to which the tRNAs corresponding amino acid is attached (by aminoacyl-tRNA synthetases). tRNAs cope with the degeneracy of the genetic code in two manners: having more than one tRNA (with a specific anti-codon) for a particular amino acid; and 'wobble' base-pairing, i.e. permitting non-standard base-pairing at the 3rd anti-codon position.
Source: RNAcentral
GCUGGGGUAGCCAAGGCGGUCACGGCGCGGGUCUGAAAAACCUGAGAUCUCAGUUCGAUUCUGAGCCCCAGCA